UACGUAGGGGGCUAGCGUUGCUCGGAAUCACUGGGCGUAAAGGGUGCGUAGGCGGGUCUUUAAGUCAGGGGUGAAAUCCUGGAGCUCAACUCCAGAACUGCCUUUGAUACUGAAGAUCUUGAGUUCGGGAGAGGUGAGUGGAACUGCGAGUGUAGAGGUGAAAUUCGUAGAUAUCGGGAGGAACACCAGUGGCGAAGGCGGCGAUCUGGGAAGAUACUGACGCUGAGGUGCGAAAGCGUGGGGAGCAAACAGG
RNAcentral lists this ribosomal RNA (253 nucleotides) under uncultured bacterium. Its description in RNAcentral is "partial 16S ribosomal RNA". It matches the Rfam family "Bacterial small subunit ribosomal RNA", at positions 524 to 776 of the family's 1533-position model. The record is from RNAcentral.